AAAGCUUGCUUUCUUUGCUGGCGACCGGCGCACGGGUGAGUAACACGUAUCCAACCUACCCUUUACUCGGGGAUAGCCUUUCGAAAGAAAGAUUAAUACCCGAUAGCAUAAUGACUCCGCAUGGUUUCAUUAUUAAAGGAUUCCGGUAAAGGAUGGGGAUGCGUUCCAUUAGGUUGUUGGUGGGGUAACGGCCCACCAAGCCUUCGAUGGAUAGGGGUUCUGAGAGGAGGGUCCCCCACAUUGGAACUGAGACACGGUCCAAACUCCUACGGGAGGCAGCAUG
This 283-nucleotide ribosomal RNA is filed under the name uncultured bacterium. RNAcentral describes it as "partial 16S ribosomal RNA". It matches the Rfam family "Bacterial small subunit ribosomal RNA", at positions 75 to 353 of the family's 1533-position model. The record is from RNAcentral.